Molecule: long non-coding RNA, 478 nt
Organism: Dermacentor albipictus
Lineage: Eukaryota; Metazoa; Arthropoda; Arachnida; Ixodida; Ixodidae
Source: RefSeq, a predicted model, not a curated record
CGCCUACCGGCAGAAAGGAACCUGUCACUCGCUGUGGCGCACGAGAUGGCUGUAACAGCAGAAGCAACCCAACGACAACAACGAGAAAUCACGACACAGAGCCAGAGUGACGCGAGCUGCACAGGCGACGCGACCACCCGCGAAUCUCACUCAAGGGAAUCGGCUUCUUCCAGAGAAGUCGCCUGCUACCGCUGCAAUGCUUCCGGCUACUGAGCUGCCUCUGCUGCGAAAAGCCCUUUCUUGAAUUGUGAGUGAACGCUGGGUGCCGCCAUGACUUUGGGCCACGCGAGAAGAAGAAUAAGACCGACGGGUGUAUUCGCCGUGUCAUCGCUGCUCCUGCUACUCUUCGUAACGAUGGGAGAACCGUCUCAUGGCAAAGGACUGACGACCCCGGUGCCUGCGGCUUCGUCGGCGCCCGCCGCAGCCGCCACAAAGGAGGAGCCACCCCACGCCUACCGGAGCAGGCACACAAAGAAAG